RNAcentral lists this ribosomal RNA (434 nucleotides) under uncultured bacterium. RNAcentral's name for it is "partial 16S ribosomal RNA". It matches the Rfam family "Bacterial small subunit ribosomal RNA", at positions 29 to 507 of the family's 1533-position model. The record is from RNAcentral.
AGCGAACGCUGGCGGCAGGCCUAACACACGCAAGUCGAACGAACCUUUCGGGGUUAGUGGCGGACGGGUGAGUAACACGUGGGAACGUGCCUUUAGGUUCGGAAUAACUCAGGGAAACUUGUGCUAAUACCGAAUGUGCCCUUCGGGGGAAAGAUUAAUCGCCUUUAGAGCGGCCCGCGUCUGAUUAGCUAGUUGGUUGAGGUAAUGGCUCACCAAGGCGACGAUCAGUAGCUGGCCUGAGAGGAUGAUCAGCCACAUUGGGACUGAGACACGGCCCAAACUCCUACGGGAGGCAGCAGUGGGGAAUCUUGCGCAAUGGGCGAAAGCCUGACGCAGCCAUGCCGCGUGAAUGAUGAAGGUCUUAGGAUUGUAAAAUUCUUUCACCGGGGACGAUAAUGACGGUACCCGGAGAAGAAGCCCCGGCUAACUUCGUG